CUGCUGCCUCCCGUAGGAGUCUGGGCCGUAUCUCAGUCCCAAUGUGGCCGGCCAACCUCUCAGUCCGGCUACUGAUCGUCGCCUUGGUAGGCCGUUACCCUACCAACUAGCUAAUCAGACGCGAGGCCAUCUCUCAGCGAUAAAUCUUUGGCAUCUGUACCAUGCGAUACCUAUGCAUUAUGCGGUAUUAGCAGUCGUUUCCAACUGUUGUCCCCCUCUGAAAGGCAGGUUCCUCACGUCCG
RNAcentral lists this ribosomal RNA (242 nucleotides) under uncultured bacterium. RNAcentral describes it as "partial 16S ribosomal RNA". The record is from RNAcentral.